This is a long non-coding RNA of Sus scrofa (pig), 1240 nucleotides long. RefSeq lists it as uncharacterized. The record is from RefSeq and is a predicted model, not a curated record. Lineage: Eukaryota; Metazoa; Chordata; Mammalia; Artiodactyla; Suidae.
GUUGGUCAGUCUUCUUGAGGCAGUGGAGCAUUUCCCAAGUGUGGGCGGGGCUAGCAGUGUCACUCUGAAGCAAAGAAGGACUUUCCAAGGGCAGUGGGACUGGCAGGUCUGUACCGUGAUGGAGACAGACUUCCUGUGACUGAGCAGAGCUUGCUCUGGCAUUUAUGGGCUGUGGAGCUCUCCCAGGGGGUGGGCGGUUCUGGGCAGCUGCUCCUUAGGAAUGCAGCACCUCCUGAGGGUGGUAGCAGCUAGCUGGGCUGCUGGGAGACAAAGAAGUGCUUCCCCAGGGCAGCUGGAACAGUGUAAGAACAUUCCAAUUCUGAAGACUCCCAACAACAUGAAGCUAACUUCCCUUUCAGUAAUCACCUAAAUAAACUAUGUGACCAAACUUUGUGAACAAGAUGACAUCUAGAGGAAUCAAUGCCGUAUCCUUAACCAACUGUGCUGGGGCCGAAGGUGGGACCUGCAUCCCCUUGCUGCAGAGACACCACCUAUCCCAUGGUGCCACAGUGGGAAUUCUGAACAGGUGAUUUGAUUUCUAUUGGAUAUGUGCCUAGGAGUGAUAUUGUUGGGUUGUAUGGUAACUCUAUGUUUAACAUUUUGAGGAAUCAUCAAAUUAUUUUCCAAACAGACUGCAUAAUUUUACAUUCUCACCAUCAAUGUAUGAAGGUUUUGGUUUUUCCAAAUAUUUGCCAAACCUGCUAUACCCUGGCUUUUAAAAUUUUAGCCAUCCUAGUGGAUGUAAAAUAUUGUUUUAUGGUUUUGAUUUGCAUUUUCCUGACAGCUAAUGAUUUUGAGCUUAUUUGUAUGUGUUUAUUGGACAUUUGUGCAUCUUCUUUGGUGAAAUGUCUAUUCAAAUCCUUUGCUCAUUUUUAAAUUGGAUCAUAUACUAUUUUAUUAUUUAGGUAUAUAUUUUUUUUUAAUUCUGGCUGUAAGCCACUUACCAGAUAUCAGAUUUGCAAUGAUUUUAUCCUAGUCGGUGGGUUGUAUUUUCACUUUUUUGAUAGUGUCCUUUAUAACACCAAUGUUUUUAAUUUUGGUGAAGUAUAAUUUAUCUUUUUUUAUUUUGCCACUGUGCUUUUAGUGUCAUUUCUAAGAAGGCAUUAUCUACCAGAGUUCAUGCAAAUUAACUCCUAUAUUUUGAUCUAAGAGGGUUAUAAUGUCAUCUCUUACAUUUAAGUCUGUGAUCCAUUUCUUUUUCUUUUUCUUUUUUUUCCUUAGAUCUGUACCCGCAGCAUAU